ACGCUGGCGGCAGGCCUAACACAUGCAAGUCGAUCGGUAACAGGAAGCAGCUUGCUGCUUUGCUGACGAGUGGCGGACGGGUGAGUAAUGUCUGGGAAACUGCCUGAUGGAGGGGGAUAACUACUGGAAACGGUAGCUAAUACCGCAUAACGUCGCAAGACCAAAGAGGGGGACCUUCGGGCCUCUUGCCAUCGGAUGUGCCCAGAUGGGAUUAGCUAGUAGGUGGGGUAACGGCUCACCUAGGCGACGAUCCCUAGCUGGUCUGAGAGGAUGACCAGCCACACUGGAACUGAGACACGGUCCAGACUCCUACGGGAGGCAGCAGUGGGGAAUAUUGCACAAUGGGCGCAAGCCUGAUGCAGCCAUGCCGCGUGUAUGAAGAAGGCCUUCGGGUUGUAAAGUACUUUCAGCGGGGAGGAAGGGAGUAAAGUUAAUACCUUUGCUCAUUGACGUUACCCGCAGAAGAAGCACCGGCUAACUCCGUGCCAGCAGCCGCGGUAAUACAGAGGGUGCAAGCGUUAAUCGGAAUUACUGGGCGUAAAGCGCACGCAGGCGGUUUGUUAAGUCAGAUGUGAAAUCCCCGGGCUCAACCUGGGAACUGCAUCUGAUACUGGCAAGCUUGAGUCUCGUAGAGGGGGGUAGAAUUCCAGGUGUAGCGGUGAAAUGCGUAGAGAUCUGGAGGAAUACCGGUGGCGAAGGCGGCCCCCUGGACGAAGACUGACGCUCAGGUGCGAAAGCGUGGGGAGCAAACAGGAUUAGAUACCCUGGUAGUCCACGCCGUAAACGAUGUCGACUUGGAGGUUGUGCCCUUGAGGCGUGGCUUCCGGAGCUAACGCGUUAAGUCGACCGCCUGGGGAGUACGGCCGCAAGGUUAAAACUCAAAUGAAUUGACGGGGGCCCGCACAAGCGGUGGAGCAUGUGGUUUAAUUCGAUGCAACGCGAAGAACCUUACCUGGUCUUGACAUCCACGGAAGUUUUCAGAGAUGAGAAUGUGCCUUCGGGAACCGUGAGACAGGUGCUGCAUGGCUGUCGUCAGCUCGUGUUGUGAAAUGUUGGGUUAAGUCCCGCAACGAGCGCAACCCUUAUCCUUUGUUGCCAGCGGUCCGGCCGGGAACUCAAAGGAGACUGCCAGUGAUAAACUGGAGGAAGGUGGGGAUGACGUCAAGUCAUCAUGGCCCUUACGACCAGGGCUACACACGUGCUACAAUGGCGCAUACAAAGAGAAGCGACCUCGCGAGAGCAAGCGGACCUCAUAAAGUGCGUCGUAGUCCGGAUUGGAGUCUGCAACUCGACUCCAUGAAGUCGGAAUCGCUAGUAAUCGUGGAUCAGAAUGCCACGGUGAAUACGUUCCCGGGCCUUGUACACACCGCCCGUCACACCAUGGGAGUGGGUUGCAAAAGAAGUAGGUAGCUUAACCUUCGGGAGGGCGCUUACCACUUUGUGC
This 1444-nucleotide ribosomal RNA is filed under the name uncultured organism. RNAcentral's name for it is "SSU rRNA". It matches the Rfam family "Bacterial small subunit ribosomal RNA". The record is from RNAcentral.